RNAcentral lists this ribosomal RNA (253 nucleotides) under uncultured bacterium. RNAcentral's name for it is "partial 16S ribosomal RNA". It matches the Rfam family "Bacterial small subunit ribosomal RNA", at positions 524 to 776 of the family's 1533-position model. The record is from RNAcentral.
UACGUAGGGUGCGAGCGUUGUCCGGAAUUAUUGGGCGUAAAGAGCUUGUAGGCGGUUUGUCGCGUCUGCUGUGAAAAUCCGGGGCUCAACCCCGGACUUGCAGUGGGUACGGGCAGACUAGAGUGUGGUAGGGGAGACUGGAAUUCCUGGUGUAGCGGUGAAAUGCGCAGAUAUCAGGAGGAACACCGAUGGCGAAGGCAGGUCUCUGGGCCACUACUGACGCUGAGGAGCGAAAGCGUGGGGAGCGAACAGG